AGUGAACGCUGGCGGUAGGCCUAACACAUGCAAGUCGAACGGCAGCACAGUAAGAGCUUGCUCUUACGGGUGGCGAGUGGCGGACGGGUGAGGAAUACAUCGGAAUCUACUUUUUCGUGGGGGAUAACGUAGGGAAACUUACGCUAAUACCGCAUACGACCUACGGGUGAAAGCAGGGGAUCUUCGGACCUUGCGCGAUUGAAUGAGCCGAUGUCGGAUUAGCUAGUUGGCGGGGUAAAGGCCCACCAAGGCGACGAUCCGUAGCUGAUCUGAGAGGAUGAUCGGCCACACUGGAACUGAGACACGGUCCAGACUCCUACGGGAGGCAGCAGUGGGGAAUAUUGGACAAUGGGCGCAAGCCUGAUCCAGCCAUACCGCGUGGGUGAAGAAGGCCUUCGGGUUGUAAAGCCCUGUUGUUAGGAAAGAAAAGCAGCAUGUUAAUACCCCGCUGUUCUGACGGUACCCAAAGAAUAAGCACCGGCUAACUUCGUG
Molecule: ribosomal RNA, 492 nt
Filed under: uncultured bacterium
Lineage: Bacteria
Description: partial 16S ribosomal RNA
Rfam family: Bacterial small subunit ribosomal RNA
Source: RNAcentral